This is a long non-coding RNA of Mustela lutreola (European mink), 1489 nucleotides long. RefSeq lists it as uncharacterized. The record is from RefSeq and is a predicted model, not a curated record. The transcript is spliced from 3 exons. NCBI's taxonomy places the organism in Eukaryota, Metazoa, Chordata, Mammalia, Carnivora, Mustelidae.
UGCAACACAGGAUAAGCUCUUCCUAUUUUGCAAGAGGAACUGCCUAGGCUGUGUUCCGGUCUCUCAGCCUCGAGCUCACACUGAGUCAUGUGACACUCCUUUGUGAGCAUAGCAGCAGACGGCACCUUGCUGUUGAAAUCCAAGGAGUGCUGGCAGCUGCCGGACAGGAAAACCAACAGAGAUCACACCUCCCAGAAGAUGGCUGUUUCAAAGUGAGUUCUGGGUUUCCAUGGACUCCUCGAGGGAAAUUUCCAGGGAUAUUUUCUACUUGAUUACCUUAUUCAUAUUUAUAUCUCAAGAGCUUUGCCAAAUACAUCAUCUAAACAGAAAAGCAAUAAGAAGUCGUGCAGAAGACUAUUGGACUAAAACUUAGGACCUGAGUUCUGGUACAAAUCAGCAGGAAAGCCAUGGAGAGAAAUCACAACUAGGCAGAGAGGCAGGAGGAAGCAGGCUCCCUGAAGAGCAGAGAGCCCGAUGCAGGGCUCCAUCCCAGGACUCUGGGAUCAUGACCUGAGCCGAAGGCAGAGGCCCUAACCCGCUGAGCCACCCAGGUGCCUCCAUCUUAACCAUUUUUAAAUGUACAAUUCAGUAGUGCUGAGAAUAUUCACAUUGUCAUACAGAUCUCCAGAGCCGCUUCUUCAUGGAAAACUGAACUCUACAGCCAUCAGGCAGCUCCCUGUUUCCCCUUCCUCCCGCCCCUUUUAAUCACCAUUCUGCUUUCCGUUCCCAUGAAUUUGACACUUUAGAUAUCUCACACCCUGGAAUCACAUAGUAUUUAUUUUUCUGUUUGUGGCUUAUUUCACGUAACACAAUGUCCUCCAGGUUCAGCCAUGUUUUAGCAUGUGACAGGACUUUCUUUCUAAAGCUGAAUCAUCUUCAAUCAAACAGAUAGACCUGUUCAUUCAUCUCUUCAUCUGUCCAUGGAUACUUGGGUCACUUCCACCUCUUGGCUCUUAUGAAGGAAGCAGCUGUGAAUAUGAGCAUGUAAAUAUUUCUUCAAGACUCUGUUGUCAGUCUUUUGGAUGUGUACCUUAGAAGUAGGAUUGCUGGAUCAUUUGCUGGGACAGUUUUUUGAGCAAACACCAUACUGUUUUCCACAGUGGCUGCACCAUUUUAUAGUUUCACCUAAGCACACCAGGAUUCCAAUUUCUCCACAUCCUCCCCAACACCUGUUAUUUUUUUGUUUUAUUUUAUAAUAAACACCCUAAUGGAUAUGAGGGGCUUAUACUUUUGGUUUGAAUAUCUCUUAAUAAUUAGUAAAGUUGUACAUCUUUUCAUUUAUUUGUUUACAAUUUCUAUACAUCAUCCUUGGAGAAAUGUUUUUUGAAGACUGUCCAUUUUUUUAAUCGGGUUCUUGGGUUCUUGUUGUCAAGUUGUGAAGGCAUAUUUUUAACCCCCACUUACCAUACAGGUUUGUUGUGAAAUCUAAAACAUCCACGUUUACAUAUCACAUUUAAUGUCAUGUUGUAGGCACCCCAAAAAUUCUACU